GAAGAAAAAAAGAAAGGUACAUAAUCGUCGGAAGCAGGAAGAAAAGGAAGGAAGAAAAGAAGAAGAAGGAGUCGCGGCUUACGGUGAAGCAUAAAGCCCAGGACUAAUUCCACGAGUCGUUCCCGCUGCGAUAUUCUUAUCGAGAAUAGCCGCGAGAACGUUUCGCGAUCGUUGAAUGGCUCACCGCGGUGCAUAGAAGUCAGGUGUCGAGGCGGGGAUCCGAAGAGAAACGCAUUAACAGGUGCUGUGCUCCGGAUGAUAUCGAACGUACUUUAAGCGUUCUACCCUUCCAACCGCACGAGAGGGAAACCCAUAAAGCAUUUGACCACGAACGAGGGUGACAGGCACGAGAACGUGGAGGAGAAACUCGCGGCGAUGUUUCAUCGAGCUUCCGAGCAAAACUUACUUCUACGUUACACGUAGUCGGAUCUUCGCGAGUCGGCUACCAGUGAAAGGAAAGGAGGAGAGAAGAUGCUGCGAGAAGAUACGACGUGGAAGGUGUAAUGGAUCGCCACACGACCCGCUCGGUCCCAACCCCAUAUGGAACACCGGGAGAGAUCGGCCAGAGAUUACAGGGAAGCAGGGCAUAAUGUCCAAACAGUUGCUCGUCAACAACCGACUAACGGUCGACGAAAACGUUCUCUUCUACCGAGAGCAGCGCGUGAGCACAACGAUCUCCGAUCCCAACGUCGAAUUCCUCGAAGAACGACAACCACGACUACGACUACUACUACUACGACGACGACGACGACGUCGACGACGACGACGACGACGACGACGACGACGACGACGAAGAGGAGCCGAGCAUCGAAGGUCGAAAUCUUCGAGAGUUGUUCUCGAGAUCACGAGUAGAAGGAACGGCAGCAGCA
Long non-coding RNA from Vespula pensylvanica (western yellowjacket), 869 nucleotides. RefSeq lists it as uncharacterized. The transcript has 3 exons. The record is from RefSeq and is a predicted model, not a curated record. Lineage: Eukaryota; Metazoa; Arthropoda; Insecta; Hymenoptera; Vespidae.